CGGGGACUACACACAGGUGUGCAUGGCUGUCGUCAGCUCGUGUCGUGAGAUGUUGGGUUAAGUCCCGCAACGAGCGCAACCCUCGCCUUUAGUUACCAUCAUUUAGUUGGGGACUCUAAAGGAACCGCCGGUGAUAAGCCGGAGGAAGGUGGGGAUGACGUCAAGUCCUCAUGGCCCUUACGCGCUGGGCUACACACGUGCUACAAUGGCGACUACAGUGGGCUGCGAACUCGCGAGGGUGAGCUAAUCUCCAAAAGUCGUCUCAGUUCGGAUUGUUCUCUGCAACUCGAGAGCAUGAAGGCGGAAUCGCUAGUAAUCGCGGAUCAGCAUGCCGCGGUGAAUACGUUCCCAGGCCUUGUACACACCGCCCGUCACACCAUGGGAGUUGGAUUCAC
RNAcentral lists this ribosomal RNA (395 nucleotides) under Sphingomonas sp. Its description in RNAcentral is "bacterial SSU rRNA". It matches the Rfam family "Bacterial small subunit ribosomal RNA", at positions 1022 to 1420 of the family's 1533-position model. Lineage: Bacteria; Pseudomonadati; Pseudomonadota; Alphaproteobacteria; Sphingomonadales; Sphingomonadaceae. The record is from RNAcentral.